AUGACUAAUCCCUCCUUGUACUCUCCUUUUCCGAUCAACUACCCCCAUCUACAGACUCAACUCGCGGCGACCUUAUCUUCUCCCUCAAACGGUCGCGACGACUUCUCCUCUUCUCACCUUCUUUUCUCACAUUACUCCAAUCAUUCGUCCUCAACCUCUUCGACGAAUCAUCAACAUCACACCUCAACACCACACCGUUGUUCUUAUUCAUCUCUACUCACAAGGUUUGCUCGCAAUCAAACAUCAAAACAUCAAGCGCAUAGAUGA
Vicia faba (fava bean) is the source of this 267-nucleotide non-coding RNA. Lineage: Eukaryota; Viridiplantae; Streptophyta; Magnoliopsida; Fabales; Fabaceae. The record is from the annotation of a GenBank genome assembly.